RNAcentral lists this ribosomal RNA (429 nucleotides) under uncultured bacterium. RNAcentral's name for it is "bacterial SSU rRNA". It matches the Rfam family "Bacterial small subunit ribosomal RNA", at positions 355 to 776 of the family's 1533-position model. The record is from RNAcentral.
UAGGGAAUAUUGCGCAAUGGGCGAAAGCCUGACGCAGCGACGCCGCGUGGGUGAUGAAGCUCCUUGGAGUGUAAAACCCUGUCAGUGGGGAAGAACCGCAUACGGAAUCACUGCCGUAUGCCUGACGGUACCCGCAGAGGAAGCUCCGGCCAACUCCGUGCCAGCAGCCGCGGUAAUACGGGGGGAGCGAGCGUUGUUCGGAUUUACUGGGCGUAAAGGGCGUGUAGGCGGGUCUUCAAGUCAAAUGUGAAAACCGACGGCUUAACCGUCGGCCUGCAUUUGAAACUGGAGGUCUUGAGUACGGGAGAGGAAAGCGGAAUUCCUGGUGUAGCGGUGAAAUGCGUAGAUAUCAGGAGGAACACCGGUGGCGAAGGCGGCUUUCUGGCCCGAUACUGACGCUGAGGCGCGAAGGCUAGGGGAGCAAACAGG